UUAAAUUGAAGAGUUUGAUCAUGGCUCAGAUUGAACGCUGGCGGCAGGCCUAACACAUGCAAGUCGAACGGUAACAGGAAACAGCUUGCUGUUUCGCUGACGAGUGGCGGACGGGUGAGUAAUGUCUGGGAAACUGCCUGAUGGAGGGGGAUAACUACUGGAAACGGUAGCUAAUACCGCAUAACGUCGCAAGACCAAAGAGGGGGACCCUCGGGCCUCUUGCCAUCGGAUGUGCCCAGAUGGGAUUAGCUUGUUGGUGGGGUAACGGCUCACCAAGGCGACGAUCCCUAGCUGGUCUGAGAGGAUGACCAGCCACACUGGAACUGAGACACGGUCC
Molecule: ribosomal RNA, 337 nt
Filed under: Escherichia coli
Lineage: Bacteria; Pseudomonadati; Pseudomonadota; Gammaproteobacteria; Enterobacterales; Enterobacteriaceae
Description: bacterial SSU rRNA
Rfam family: Bacterial small subunit ribosomal RNA
Source: RNAcentral